This 800-nucleotide ribosomal RNA is filed under the name Roseovarius sp. Its description in RNAcentral is "bacterial SSU rRNA". It matches the Rfam family "Bacterial small subunit ribosomal RNA", at positions 66 to 915 of the family's 1533-position model. The record is from RNAcentral. Lineage: Bacteria; Pseudomonadati; Pseudomonadota; Alphaproteobacteria; Rhodobacterales; Roseobacteraceae.
GCGAACCUUCGGGUUAGCGGCGGACGGGUGAGUAACGCGUGGGAACGUGCCCUCUUCUGCGGGAUAGCCACUGGAAACGGUGAGUAAUACCGCAUACGCCCUUCGGGGGAAAGAUUUAUCGGAGGAGGAUCGGCCCGCGUUGGAUUAGGUAGUUGGUGGGGUAAUGGCCUACCAAGCCUACGAUCCAUAGCUGGUUUUAGAGGAUGAUCAGCCACACUGGGACUGAGACACGGCCCAGACUCCUACGGGAGGCAGCAGUGGGGAAUCUUAGACAAUGGGCGCAAGCCUGAUCUAGCCAUGCCGCGUGAGUGACGAAGGCCUUAGGGUCGUAAAGCUCUUUCGCCAGAGAUGAUAAUGACAGUAUCUGGUAAAGAAACCCCGGCUAACUCCGUGCCAGCAGCCGCGGUAAUACGGAGGGGGUUAGCGUUGUUCGGAAUUACUGGGCGUAAAGCGCACGUAGGCGGAUUGGAAAGUUGGGGGUGAAAUCCCAGGGCUCAACCCUGGAACUGCCUCCAAAACUCCCAGUCUGGAGUUCGAGAGAGGUGAGUGGAAUUCCGAGUGUAGAGGUGAAAUUCGUAGAUAUUCGGAGGAACACCAGUGGCGAAGGCGGCUCACUGGCUCGAUACUGACGCUGAGGUGCGAAAGUGUGGGGAGCAAACAGGAUUAGAUACCCUGGUAGUCCACACCGUAAACGAUGAAUGCCAGUCGUCGGCAAGCAUGCUUGUCGGUGACACACCUAACGGAUUAAGCAUUCCGCCUGGGGAGUACGGUCGCAAGAUUAAAACUCAAAGGAAUUGACG